GCCGGUCCGCACGGGAGCCUGGAGAGACCGGGCUGAGAGGGGGUCUGACGACCCCGACCGUCGAACCUGAUCCGGGUAAUGCCGGCGCAGGGAGCGUGAGGUCGUGUUCA
RNAcentral lists this non-coding RNA (110 nucleotides) under Allokutzneria albata. Its description in RNAcentral is "TPP sequence". It matches the Rfam family "TPP riboswitch aptamer (THI element)". Rfam says of the family: Vitamin B(1) in its active form thiamin pyrophosphate (TPP) is an essential coenzyme that is synthesised by coupling of pyrimidine and thiazole moieties in bacteria. The previously detected thiamin-regulatory element, thi box was extended, resulting in a new, highly conserved RNA secondary structure, the THI element, which is widely distributed in eubacteria and also occurs in some archaea. Analysis of operon structures identified a large number of new candidate thiamin-regulated genes, mostly transporters, in various prokaryotic organisms. The record is from Rfam by way of RNAcentral. Lineage: Bacteria; Bacillati; Actinomycetota; Actinomycetes; Pseudonocardiales; Pseudonocardiaceae.